GGAGUAAAGCUUGCCGUGAGAAGUCAGCAGAGGUUAUAGUACCUAAGACACGUGUGUCUAUGGGGAAGGAC
Non-coding RNA from Bacteroides sp. CAG:702, 71 nucleotides. NCBI's taxonomy places the organism in Bacteria, Pseudomonadati, Bacteroidota, Bacteroidia, Bacteroidales, Bacteroidaceae. The record is from Rfam.